AGCAUUAACUACAUGGCACCUUCUCAUACAUGGUCAUGAAGAAUCCUGACAACUGUUUUGAGGCAGUUACUAUUUUCAUCUUCCUUUCUCACAAAUCUGUUUCCUCUUUUCCUGGCACAUAGCUGCAGAUUGGGUAAACAGCCUAGACGUGGCCUUGUAACUGAGUAGAGUGGAACGUGUGAGGCCAGGGUUAUGCUACUUUCAGGCUUGGUCCACUAGCCCCACCUUGUUCCAUCCCUCUGCUCUUUCUUCCUUUGUGGCAACCUUGAAAACUGCAUGUUAAAGAUGGAGGAUCUACAAGAGGGAAGGAUCCUGGCUUGUGUACCGCCUCUUAGAGAAAAGCCACCAGCUGAUCAAGAAGAACCAUUUUGGAUUUUAUGAGGAAAGGAAGAAGGAAAAGAGAGGGCCAAGAAACACCCCCUCCAACAUCCAGCUUCCAAAGAAGUCCCAGGAGGGAGACUUUUUUGAAUCCCAGGUGGAGGGAGAACACUGAGGGAUGGACACUCAAUAGAAAGAAGUGCAUGCAGCCUCCUGGUUCUACUACACCUUAUUGGGAAUUGAUAAUUCACUUCCUCUGGCAAAUGAUGCAGCCAAUUAAAUGUGAACAUCCUUCACACCUGUUCCUGUUUCUAAGGCAAUGAGAUUUGACACAAGUGAGCAAGAUGACAAUAUAAAUCCUAAGUUGCAUGGAGAAAUUUAUUAUGUUUUUAGUAAAACCAUACCCUAAUCACUCAGUGCUUCAACUACCCCAUUUGCAAACACAGAAAUCUUUGUCUACAGGAUCCUCACACAGAUGGCAUAAGAAUUCAUAAAACUUAGAAAAUAUACUUUUCCUUAGAGAAAAUGAAUUGCAUGAAUCCUGGAUGUUUCCUAACAUAUUAAUAAACUCUUGACUUCCCCAUAAUGGUGUAUGGGAAUAUUAUGAUCAUCCAGUACACCACCUGCAUCCCAAAUGAAAAUAUGAGCAUCUUAUCAAUGUUGAAAUCACUUGUCUGGAGGAGAUUUGGCAAUUUUCCUCAAUUACUCAGUCUAAUAUAAUUAUGUAUAAUUUGUCAUAAUGCUUAGUAAGACAAUAAAAUGAAAAACAAUGCUGAAAACAACCAAUAGGAGACAGGAGUGUAACAUAUGCCUCACUAACUGCGAUGAAAGAUAAUUCACUGCUUCAGUUAUCAAUAUUUAGUUGAUAAUCAGAUGAGAAGCUUAAAUAUUUUUUAAAUGAAUCAAAGAAAUUCUACUCCCAUAUGAGUAAUGGUAUCAUAAAGGCCAUAUCUGUUUUGCUGUAUUAUUGACGCAUAUUCAAAUUUUUGGAUUCAAACACAACAGGUUUUUUGCUGUGUUGACCUUCCUAUAUGAGAGGUAAUUCUUUUGUCCUCUCUAACCCUGGCUUAUCUCCAAUGGCUUUCCUUCCCCCAGCCCUGAACACUGCAGGGAGUAGAGAUGAAGAAAAGCAGGGUCAAAAGCCUACUUUCCUUUUUUUUCUCCUUUAUUUGCUAAUUUAGGCUGUAUUUCUAUAACAUGCUGUUUCAUAGGAAGAGGAAAGUAAGCUUGAGGUGGCACGUCUUGAAAGAGAAACUUGAGGUAGAAGUAUGUAAACCUGCAAGAAAAGGGAAAGCCACGAUUUAAUUUUUUUUUCUUGUUCAAUAACUCAUUUUGUUUUCCAUCAUUGGCAAGAAGCACUAGAACAAGGCAAAGCUAUUCCUAUUUUAAGAGGUAGACCGACUUCUGUUCUCUAUUCCCAAGAUGAAACUAGUGGACAAGAAAGAAGAUUCCCCUUCCACCCUCCUAUCACAUGUCUCUUUCCCUGAAGCUACUCCUGGAUAAAUGGGACAAUGGCCCUAUUGGAAUCUAUCAGCACACACGCACACACACACACCUUGCCAUGUGUAUGUGUUAGUACCGGGUAAUAGGUAAGUCAGUCAUUCACAAAUAUCUAUUCAUUCUCUCUCCAUGAUGCUUCUACAAGACUGCAAGUCCCUGAGCAUUCAGAGGAGAAUCAAAGGGCCACUACCCUCAUGGAACUUUCACUCUGAACAUCGUAGACUUCACCCGAAUGAUUAAAUGUGCUAAGUGUUAUUUAAGAAAAGCUCCACAUGCAGGAAAUCAACCCUGAAUAUUCACUGGAAGGACUAAUGCUGAAGCUGAAGCUCCAAUACUUUGGCCACCUGAGGUGAAGAGCCAACUCAUUGGAAAAGACCCUGAUGCUGGGAAAGAUUGAAGGCAGGAGGAGAAGGGGACGACAGAGGAUGAGAAGGUUGGAUGGCAUCACUGACUCAAUGGACAUGGGUUUGAGCAAGCUCUGGGAGUUGGUGAUGGACAGGGAGGCCUGGCCGAAGUCCAUGGGGUCGCAAAGAGUCAGACAUGACUGAGCGGCUGAACAACAACCACAUGAAGGGGACACAGCCCAUUUCUUCCAUUUAUGUGUGAGUGGCCAUAGGCAAAGACAGCAGCACUGAACACAGAUUUACUAAGCACUUGUUACGAAUAAUGUAUUCAAGGCCCUUAAAGCAAUGCUUGUUGCAUGCCAAGUAUUCAGUAAGUGACAGGAACAUGUAAAUAGACCCUUGCUAAGAAAUUAUGUGUUUCUACUUAAAUUUUUCUCACAUCACUCAAUUAGACUAGAAAUAUUUCACUCUUAACAUUGUUGGUGUACCAUUCCCAAAAGUUGGUGUGCAAAGCACCAAAGAUCUUAAUUAGUGGCUGAAAUCUCCUUCUUUUUUCCUUUACUACCUAUUCUCUUGGGCUUCCCAGGUGGAGCUAGUGGUAAAAAACCUGCCUGCCAAUGCAGGUAGACGUAAGAGAUGCAGGUUCAAUCCUUGGGUUAGGAAGAUGGCCUGGAGGAGGGCAAGGCAAUUCACUUCACUACUCUUGCCUGGAGAAUCCCAUGGACGGAGGAGCCUGGUGGGCUACAGUCCCUAGAAUUACAAAGAGUCAGACACAACUGAAGUGACUCAACGCUCACCUACCCUAUCCAAGUUCUCUAUAGGUUCAAUCCCUGGCUGACGACAGAUGAUAUAAUAACAAGAGCAUGGGAUUUAGAGUUAACUAGACUUGUGUAAGCUGUGUUCUACCCAUGACUGGCCAUGUAAACUUAAAUCAUCUGUGAAGUGGAAACUAACAUUUGCCUUAUACAGCUUCUAACAGCCUGAGAAGCAGACACCUAGAGAAGGGUCUACGACAAGCACUAAUGACUGUGAUACCUGAGCUGUUCUUGGAGGAUAAAUGAGAUUCAAUUCUAUAUUUAGAGGCCAUAGGUGAAAAAACAGCCAUGCACUACUGUCUUCCAAAGAUGACGAAAAGGCAUUAUUCCUAUUUGUCCUAAGCACGCACUGAACACAGUUGCAAAGCAGUGAUUCACUGUCUACCAGUGAAGUGGCUGAAGACUGGAAGACUGGGGCUGCCUGUCAUGGCACCAGUGGAGUUAACCUUCCCACUUGGAGCCCAAGUCACACGCAAGGUCGACCGACUGUCCCUAUUUCAUCAACAGCUUAAUGGCAGAUCCCGUUGCUGCCUCAUUUAGAGAUUCAGUGCAAACCCUCAAGUUGGGCUUCCUUUAUAAUACCCUGCAGUCUCUAAAUUGCUGUGUAGGAUUUUCUGAGGACUCGUCUGUGAGAACACCGUGGGCUGUUGGUUGUAUGCAUGCACUUGCACAAAUAAGUGGCAGAAAGCUGGCUCAGGCAGAAGGACUUACAUAUUUUUUCCUCAAAUGACAUAUUUGGGCAUUAAAAACAAUGUAUCCUGUUCUCCUGCUAAAAAAGGAAUAAUGAAACCGGAGUGUUGCCUUCCCAGUAGCUCUCACCUUUGAAUCGUGCAAACAGCAAUGAUCCUCCGUUUGUAGGCAGCAACAGCCUCCAGAAGCUACGGGAACAUUGCCAAGAUCCCUGAAAAACCUCCACAGCUAAUUGGAAACCGGCUUAUUAGUGACACUUUUGAGAGUCAGGUUGUCAUUGAAGAGAAACGAAGGAGAACACGGUGGGCGCCGUAGCCUGGAAUUAGACUGUGGGAGGGAGGAAGGCUCCUCGCAGGAACUCGGCUCUGUAAUUUUCUCAAAUGCUGUGCUCAGCUGCCUUACAAAAGCUCUGGAUGUCAGGAGGCUAUAGGCAACACCUUACCCUCCAAAUCCUCCAUGAAAACUACCCCAUAACCAUCUACCUCGGGAGAGAGGGCUCUGUGGCCUCUCAAUGUUACCCUGAACUAAAGACAACAGAAAGGAAAUAUAUAUAUAUAUUCCUUCUCAGUAGCCUUCUGAACAUGUGUUGACAUUUUUAUGUAGCUGAGUUUUUUUGUCACAAUUACUAGACAAUUUCAGUAACAAAUAACCCCUAAGGUUUUGUGUACAUAAAAUUUCAGUAAAGAGGGAAAUGAAUUGAAAUUUUAAUUUAAAAAAAUAACAAUAUGUCAAAGUACCAGUCAGGUCAUAUUUAGGAAGCAUCACAAGAAAUGGACAGGAUUAGUGACUAAGAUUAAGAUUUUUUUUU
This 4475-nucleotide long non-coding RNA is filed under the name Ovis aries (sheep). RNAcentral's name for it is "lncRNA (ENSOARG00000026573.1)". The record is from RNAcentral. Lineage: Eukaryota; Metazoa; Chordata; Mammalia; Artiodactyla; Bovidae.